Non-coding RNA from Labrus bergylta (ballan wrasse), 641 nucleotides. Lineage: Eukaryota; Metazoa; Chordata; Actinopteri; Labriformes; Labridae. The record is from RefSeq and is a predicted model, not a curated record.
CAGUGUUCAUUCCUUCUGGAUCUGUACUCCCACAUGAAGGACUGUGAGACUAAAACAGGCUUGAGAGUUCUUCCAUCAGUACAGUCAGUUUUCCAGUCAGCUCCUGCUGUCUGGUACAUUGACCUCUCAAAGAGAAAGACCUCCAUCCUCCUGGAAGUGCUGAGACUCCGUCCAGAGAAGACUCCAGUGGAGCUGACGGGCUGUCCAGAUGAAGAGAGUGAAGUGAGGAGCUUCCUUCAGUGUCUGCCUCAUAUCUCACAGCUCAGGUAAAUGAAUUACUCUUCACACCACAGUGUACACCUGUUAAGGUUUGCUCCUCCAUCUGAAUCCUCUCACUGUAAGAUUGAAUUAUCCAAUAACACAUGAUGAUGAAAUGUGUAACAUACUCCCAGAAAUCCUAAUUUAGCUGAACAACUGCUUUCUGAAGUUUUUAAAAAUAUAGAAUGAAACAGGUCCAAACUUGUGAUGGUCUAUUUCAGUCUUUGGAGCUAAUUGAUGAUGAAUUAUUUACCAGUAAAUAAACAGCUGCUGAAUUAGAGGUUUGAAAGAUAUUCAUUUUGAAGAGUGAACGAGAUGAUUCAAUAACAGCAUGAAAAACAAUCUGUAUUAACCAAUCAAAUCAAUAAAUGUACCACAUGAAG